RNAcentral lists this unclassified non-coding RNA (530 nucleotides) under Fusarium petroliphilum. RNAcentral's name for it is "sequence contains 18S rRNA gene, ITS1, 5.8S rRNA gene, ITS2, 28S rRNA gene". The stretch from base 160 to 313 matches the Rfam family "5.8S ribosomal RNA". Lineage: Eukaryota; Fungi; Ascomycota; Sordariomycetes; Hypocreales; Nectriaceae. The record is from RNAcentral.
GAUCAUUACCGAGUUAUUCAACUCAUCAACCCUGUGAACUUACCUAAACGUUGCUUCGGCGGGAAUAGACGGCCCUGUAAAACGGGCCGCCCCCGCCAGAGGACUCUUAACUCUGUUUCUUAUAAUGUUUCUUCUGAGUAAAACAAGCAAAUAAAUUAAAACUUUCAACAACGGAUCUCUUGGCUCUGGCAUCGAUGAAGAACGCAGCGAAAUGCGAUAAGUAAUGUGAAUUGCAGAAUUCAGUGAAUCAUCGAAUCUUUGAACGCACAUUGCGCCCGCCAGUAUUCUGGCGGGCAUGCCUGUUCGAGCGUCAUUACAACCCUCAGGCCCCCGGGCCUGGCGUUGGGGAUCGGCGGAGCGCCCCUCGUGGGCGCACGCCGUCCCCCAAAUACAGUGGCGGUCCCGCCGCAGCUUCCAUCGCGUAGUAGCUAACACCUCGCGACUGGAGAGCGGCGCGGCCACGCCGUAAAACACCCCAACUCUUCUGAAGUUGACCUCGAAUCAGGUAGGAAUACCCGCUGAACCUAAGC